RNAcentral lists this ribosomal RNA (799 nucleotides) under uncultured bacterium. Its description in RNAcentral is "bacterial SSU rRNA". It matches the Rfam family "Bacterial small subunit ribosomal RNA", at positions 51 to 845 of the family's 1533-position model. The record is from RNAcentral.
ACACAUGCAAGUCGAACGGGAAUGCUUCGCUGAUGCGAUUUCGGUCAAAUCUUGAAGCAUUUUAGUGGCGGACGGGUGAGUAACGCGUGGGUAACCUGCCCUGCACAGGGGGACAACAGUUGGAAACGACUGCUGAUACCGCAUAAGCGCACAGCUUCGCAUGAAGCAGUGUGAAAAACUCCGGUGGUACAGGAUGGACCCGCGUCUGAUUAGAUAGUUGGUGAGGUAACGGCCCACCAAGUCGACGAUCAGUAGCCGGCCUGAGAGGGCGAACGGCCACAUUGGGACUGAGACACGGCCCAAACUCCUACGGGAGGCAGCAGUGGGGAAUAUUGCACAAUGGGGGAAACCCUGAUGCAGCGACGCCGCGUGAGUGAAGAAGUAUUUCGGUAUGUAAAGCUCUAUCAGCAGGGAAGAAAACAAUGACGGUACCUGACUAAGAAGCCCCGGCUAACUACGUGCCAGCAGCCGCGGUAAUACGUAGGGGGCAAGCGUUAUCCGGAUUUACUGGGUGUAAAGGGAGCGUAGACGGUAGACCAAGUCUGAAGUGAAAGCCCGGGGCUCAACCCCGGAACUGCUUUGGAAACUGGUAAACUAGAGUGCAGGAGAGGUAAGUGGAAUUCCUAGUGUAGCGGUGAAAUGCGUAGAUAUUAGGAGGAACACCAGUGGCGAAGGCGGCUUACUGGACUGUAACUGACGUUGAGGCUCGAAAGCGUGGGGAGCAAACAGGAUUAGAUACCCUGGUAGUCCACGCCGUAAACGAUGAUUACUAGGUGUCGGGGAGUUAAACUCUUCGGUG